Molecule: long non-coding RNA, 1122 nt
Filed under: Helianthus annuus (common sunflower)
Lineage: Eukaryota; Viridiplantae; Streptophyta; Magnoliopsida; Asterales; Asteraceae
Source: RNAcentral
AUAAUUAUAAGAUUAAAAUUAAAGUAAAUGUUAGUGCUUAUAAUGCCCUGAAGGAAGAAAUUAAAAUGAAAAUGAUAGGAGGGAAAAAGCUUCUCCAAAGGGACCCAUGACAUGCCUCCUCAAUAGAAGACUCAGUAUGUGAUCAACUUUUCCUUCUUCUCCUACCCAAACUUUAUUUUUACUAUUUUUCACCUGGAUCAUCAUAAUUUUUCCCAAAAAUACACAAGAAUUGUCUCCCGAAAACGUACCUUCAUGUCAAUUAACAUACCAAAAGAUCCAUCUGAAGGUUCAUCGCGAUCAGCAACCGCGGAUCAGAGCCAUCAUCCAGCACCUUUAAGUCGUUACGAAUCACAAAAACGACGCGACUGGAACACUUUUGGACAAUAUCUGAAGAAUCAAAGGCCUCCGGUUCCUCUCGCACAGUGUAACUUUAGCCAUGUUCUCGAGUUUCUUCGAUACCUUGAUCAAUUCGGAAAAACUAAGGUUCAUAUACUUGGGUGUGCCUUCUUUGGGCAGCCUGACCCUCCUGCCCCUUGCACUUGCCCUCUUAGGCAGGCUUGGGGCAGUUUGGACGCCCUAAUUGGGCGUCUAAGAGCCGCGUACGAGGAGAACGGCGGCUCUCCCGAGAAUAAUCCGUUUGGAAAUAGUGCGAUUCGGGUUUAUUUAAGGGAAGUGAAGGAGUGUCAAGCUAAGGCAAGAGGAAUCCCAUACAAGAAGAAAAAGAAGAGGAAGAAUCAAAUCAAAGCUAGUGAAGAAAUGAAGGCUCCAAAGCUGCAGGCUACUUGAACUUGCUUCAAUCUAGUUUUGUCCACACUAAAUGUCAUAUUUCAGGUAGAUGAAUUGGAUGAUGAAGUUUACAGAAGGUAGAAAUUCUAAGCUUCGGGAAUGGAGCUACAGGAUUCUCUCCUUAAGGUAUAAUUUAUAAGAACACACAUUAGAUUGCAUAUACCUUUAAAAUAAUUAAAUGUGUAGCACAUUAUGUACCUUUAGUUUCAUUGCUUUUUAAGUUAAAAAACCGUAUUUCAACUAGAACAAAAAGUCUGUAAAUCGGAGCAGUGAUCAAUCUUUUGCCACUUUUUUCAUACAUGUGUAUUGUUGAUAUCCUUUCUCUUUCCGUAGCAU